RNAcentral lists this ribosomal RNA (468 nucleotides) under uncultured bacterium. Its description in RNAcentral is "partial 16S ribosomal RNA". It matches the Rfam family "Bacterial small subunit ribosomal RNA", at positions 28 to 507 of the family's 1533-position model. The record is from RNAcentral.
GACGAACGCUGGCGGCGUGCUUAACACAUGCAAGUCGAACGGAAAGGCCCUGCUUUUGUGGGGCGCUCGAGUGGCGAACGGGUGAGUAACACGUGAGUAACCUGCCCUUGACUUUGGGAUAACUUCAGGAAACUGGGGCUAAUACCGGAUAGGAGCUCCUGCUGCAUGGGGGGGGUUGGAAAGUUUCGGCGGUUGGGGCUGGACUCGCGGCUUAUCAGCUUGUUGGUGGGGUAGGGGCUUACCAAGGCUUUGACGGAUAGCCGGCCUGAGAGGGGGACCGGCCACAUUGCGACUGAGAGACGGCCCAGAAUGCUACGGGAGGCAGUGGUGGGGAGUAUUGCGCAAUGGGCGGAAGCCUGAUGCAGCAACGCCGCGUGCGGGAUGACGGCCUUCGGGUUGUAAACCGCUUUCGCCUGUGACGAAGCGUGAGUGACGGUAAUGGGUAAGGAAGCACCGGCUAACUACGUG